Molecule: long non-coding RNA, 500 nt
Organism: Apis florea (little honeybee)
Lineage: Eukaryota; Metazoa; Arthropoda; Insecta; Hymenoptera; Apidae
Source: RefSeq, a predicted model, not a curated record
CAUAUGUGUGUGUGUGGGAGAGAGUAAAAACGAGGAGGACUGUUUUAGCAAAUAUUCGCAAUCGUUAAAUUUCCUGGAACAACUCGGUACGUGUUAAUAGAAAGGGAGGCUUAUCUUUUUCCAACCGGUUGUUAACGAGUCUCCUCGUAUCUGACGCUUGAACGGGGCGAUUCUGGGCACGGUUGAUGACGAAAAAAGGCGAAAUAAAAUAAUAUCCCCCUUAAUAAUGGCUCGAGUGAAAUGGCAACGGUCGGUCGGGAGACGAAUUGAGCCUUGCCCUUUGCCACUCUCUCGCGUUCCAAUCUUUGUCCUCGGGAGCCGACAAAUUUUGUUCCUUCGGAACAAUACGAGCAAUACAAUCCGUGGAUUUUCAGUUCAUCGUUCAAAAAUCGAUCUCUAUCAAUAAUUUUAUCGAUUCUUCCUCGUGAAGCUUAAUUUGAAAAGAUACCUCGUCUUAUUCGUAUUUUUUUAGAGAAAUAAUUCUCUAUUGGAAUGAAAGA